Molecule: ribosomal RNA, 507 nt
Filed under: Sporosarcina sp. CL5.64
Lineage: Bacteria; Bacillati; Bacillota; Bacilli; Caryophanales; Caryophanaceae
Description: bacterial SSU rRNA
Rfam family: Bacterial small subunit ribosomal RNA
Source: RNAcentral
AUCCCUGGCUCAGGACGAACGCUGGCGGCGUGCCUAAUACAUGCAAGUCGAGCGGAAUGAUGAAGAAGCUUGCUUCUUCUGAUUUUAGCGGCGGACGGGUGAGUAACACGUGGGCAACCUACCUUGUAGAUUGGGAUAACUCCGGGAAACCGGGGCUAAUACCAAAUAAUCCAUUUUGCUUCAUGGCGAAAUGUUGAAAGGCGGCUUCGGCUGUCACUACGAGAUGGGCCCGCGGCGCAUUAGCUAGUUGGUAGGGUAACGGCCUACCAAGGCGACGAUGCGUAGCCGACCUGAGAGGGUGAUCGGCCACACUGGGACUGAGACACGGCCCAGACUCCUACGGGAGGCAGCAGUAGGGAAUCUUCCACAAUGGACGAAAGUCUGAUGGAGCAACGCCGCGUGAGUGAAGAAGGUUUUCGGAUCGUAAAACUCUGUUGUAAGGGAAGAACACGUACGAGAGUAACUGCUCGUACCUUGACGGUACCUUAUUAGAAAGCCACGGCUAAC